This 91-nucleotide transfer RNA is filed under the name Bacteroidota bacterium. RNAcentral's name for it is "Bacteroidetes bacterium tRNA-Ser". It matches the Rfam family "tRNA". Rfam says of the family: Transfer RNA (tRNA) molecules are approximately 80 nucleotides in length. Their secondary structure includes four short double-helical elements and three loops (D, anti-codon, and T loops). Lineage: Bacteria; Pseudomonadati; Bacteroidota. The record is from RNAcentral.
GGAGAGGUGCUCGAGUGGCUGAAGAGGCACGCCUGGAAAGCGUGUAUACCUCAAAAGGGUAUCGCGGGUUCGAAUCCCGCCCUCUCCGCAA